GAUGUCUUGAUCCACCGGAUUGUCC
This 25-nucleotide non-coding RNA is filed under the name Mus musculus (house mouse). The record is from RNAcentral. Lineage: Eukaryota; Metazoa; Chordata; Mammalia; Rodentia; Muridae.